Molecule: ribosomal RNA, 247 nt
Filed under: Culex quinquefasciatus (southern house mosquito)
Lineage: Eukaryota; Metazoa; Arthropoda; Insecta; Diptera; Culicidae
Description: partial 16S ribosomal RNA
Source: RNAcentral
GUUAAAAUAAAAUUAAAGGACGAGAAGACCCUAUAGAUCUUUAUUUUUGUUAUUUAUAAAUUAAAAAGAAUUUUAAAAUUUAUAAUUUAAUAAAAAAUUUUAUUGGGGUGAUAUUAAAAUUUAAAAAACUUUUAAAAUUUAUUAACAUAAAUAUAUGAAUAAAUGAUCCAGUUUUAUUGAUUAAAAAUUUAAGUUACCUUAGGGAUAACAGCGUAAUUUUUUUUUAGAGUUCUUAUCGACAAAAAAG